This 234-nucleotide long non-coding RNA is filed under the name Brassica napus (rape). RNAcentral's name for it is "long non-coding RNA (BNAP_LNC015848)". The record is from RNAcentral. Lineage: Eukaryota; Viridiplantae; Streptophyta; Magnoliopsida; Brassicales; Brassicaceae.
AAUCUCAAUGUAGGACUUAACUAGUUAACUUACCCUCACAUUUGAAGACUAGACAUUUGAAAGUACAGUUUGAGGAACUGGGCAUUCAUGAAUUAUAAUCGCGAAAUUAAAUGUUUUAAUCUAAUACUAUCUAAUAAACCUAUGUGACACCCAAAACUACAUUAAUAUGAAAAUUGCUAUAUAUAGUAUAAGUUUACGAAUCUAUAUGGAAUAUUUUAGGAACAAAACUUUUAA